This is a long non-coding RNA of Raphanus sativus (radish), 754 nucleotides long. RefSeq lists it as uncharacterized. The transcript is spliced from 4 exons. NCBI's taxonomy places the organism in Eukaryota, Viridiplantae, Streptophyta, Magnoliopsida, Brassicales, Brassicaceae. The record is from RefSeq and is a predicted model, not a curated record.
UUGCUUUGUUUUUUUUUUCUUUUUCCUAUUUCAAUAUCUUUGCUAUUACGAUUUACUGAUUGUUUUUCUUUUCCCUUUUUUUAAUCACAGCAUUAACAUCAGCAGUUCCCUUAACAGCUAACGUUAUGCAAGAAUGUCAAGCGAUAAAGAUCCUUCAAUGGAGCUUCCAAUCUACAUAUUGACUUCGCCUGACUAUUCAGUAUAAAUAUGUACCUCUUGAUAGCAAUUGAAACAAAACCAUUUAAUUUUGGGAAGCCCGGAAUGUGUAGAAAACGGGUUAACUGAUGGGCGUUGAUAUGGUUCUUACUGAUUCAAAGCUUGUGCUUCUCUUUAUUGCUCUUGUCUCUGUUCCGUGUAUGUUGCUUUCAAAGCUGUUCAUCUUAAAGAAACAACACGUAGCUAAGCAACAAGGUCAGUCAUACGCACCUCUUGAGGAGACGGAUGAGAGUCUUCAUGUAGAGACAAGCGGAGGAUCACAUGGGCACGGGGAGUUUUAAUUCAUCGAGAUCUUUGUGCAUCAGUUUUUUCACACCAUAGAAUUUUGUGCUUAGAGCUGUUUCCAACACCUCUUCUUACCUGCGUAUAUGGGCUCUCAUGCAUCUAUCUAAUCAUGGAGCAGUAGGAAGCUAGAAUAGUGUUGAGUUUUGCUAUGAUAGCUGUUUGAUUACUAGAGUAUGUAUUAGCUGAAGAGGAAGGCAGCAGGUCUAAGAAGACCGCAAAAGCUUUAUAACUCUCACUGUAAUUUUGCAUUUGA